UCUCUAGCGGAGGAAUGAACCAACAGGGAUCUAGCCUCAGUAACGGCGAGUGAAGCGGCCACGAGCUCAAAUUUGAAAUCUGGCGCCUCCGGCGUCCGAGUUGUAAUUUGGAGAGGAUGCUUCGGGUGCGGCCGCGGCCUAAGUCCCCUGGAACGGGGCGUCGCAGAGGGUGAGAAUCCCGUCUUUGGUCGCCGGUGCGCGCCCGUGUGAAGCUCCUUCGACGAGUCGAGUUGUUUGGGAAUGCAGCUCUAAAUGGGUGGUAAAUUUCAUCUAAAGCUAAAUACUGGCGGGAGACCGAUAGCGAACAAGUAGAGUGAUCGAAAGGUUAAAAGCACCUUGAAAAGGGAGUUAAACAGCACGUGAAAUUGGUGAAAGGGAAGCGCUUGCCGCCACACUCGGGCGCGAUCCACCGCGGGGGAGGCCCCGGUCCAGGGGAAUAAGCCGGGGCGGACCCAAAGGACCCCCCCAAAAAAACACGGGAAGCGGAGGGCCGCCAAAUUCAAAAUCGGCCCGGGGCUCCCCCCCAAGAGAGCAACCCGGGGGUCCUUCGG
This 551-nucleotide ribosomal RNA is filed under the name Malbranchea flava. Its description in RNAcentral is "LSU rRNA". It matches the Rfam family "Eukaryotic large subunit ribosomal RNA", at positions 44 to 529 of the family's 3401-position model. The record is from RNAcentral. Lineage: Eukaryota; Fungi; Ascomycota; Eurotiomycetes; Onygenales; Malbrancheaceae.